GGCGGACGGGUGAGUAAUGCUUGGGAACAUGCCUUGAGGUGGGGGACAACAGUUGGAAACGACUGCUAAUACCGCAUAAUGUCUGCGGACCAAAGGGGGCUUCGGCUCUCGCCUCUAGAUUGGCCCAAGUGGGAUUAGCUAGUUGGUGAGGUAAUGGCUCACCAAGGCGACGAUCCCUAGCUGGUUUGAGAGGAUGAUCAGCCACACUGGGACUGAGACACGGCCCAGACUCCUACGGGAGGCAGCAGUGGGGAAUAUUGCACAAUGGGCGCAAGCCUGAUGCAGCCAUGCCGCGUGUGUGAAGAAGGCCUUCGGGUUGUAAAGCACUUUCAGUCAGGAGGAAAGGUUAGUAGUUAAUACCUGCUAGCUGUGACGUUACUGACAGAAGAAGCACCGGCUAACUCCGUGCCAGCAGCCGCGGUAAUACGGAGGGUGCGAGCGUUAAUCAGAAUUACUGGGCGUAAAGCGUAC
RNAcentral lists this ribosomal RNA (471 nucleotides) under uncultured Pseudoalteromonas sp. Its description in RNAcentral is "bacterial SSU rRNA". It matches the Rfam family "Bacterial small subunit ribosomal RNA", at positions 97 to 570 of the family's 1533-position model. Lineage: Bacteria; Pseudomonadati; Pseudomonadota; Gammaproteobacteria; Alteromonadales; Pseudoalteromonadaceae. The record is from RNAcentral.